Molecule: ribosomal RNA, 1372 nt
Filed under: uncultured bacterium
Lineage: Bacteria
Description: bacterial SSU rRNA
Rfam family: Bacterial small subunit ribosomal RNA
Source: RNAcentral
GAUGAACGCUGGCGGCGUGCCUAAUACAUGCAAGUCGAGCGAACGGACGAGAAGCUUGCUUCUCUGAUGUUAGCGGCGGACGGGUGAGUAACACGUGGAUGACCUACCUAUAAGACUGGGAUAACUUCGGGAAACCGGAGCUAAUACCGGAUAAUAUUUUGAACCGCAUGGUUCAAAAGUGAAAGACGGUCUUGCUGUCACUUAUAGAUGGAUCCGCGCUGCAUUAGCUAGUUGGUAAGGUAACGGCUUACCAAGGCAACGAUGCAUAGCCGACCUGAGAGGGUGAUCGGCCACACUGGAACUGAGACACGGUCCAGACUCCUACGGGAGGCAGCAGUAGGGAAUCUUCCGCAAUGGGCGAAAGCCUGACGGAGCAACGCCGCGUGAGUGAUGAAGGUCUUCGGAUCGUAAAACUCUGUUAUUAGGGAAGAACAUAUGUGUAAGUAACUGUGCACAUCUUGACGGUACCUAAUCAGAAAGCCACGGCUAACUACGUGCCAGCAGCCGCGGUAAUACGUAGGUGGCAAGCGUUAUCCGGAAUUAUUGGGCGUAAAGCGCGCGUAGGCGGUUUUUUAAGUCUGAUGUGAAAGCCCACGGCUCAACCGUGGAGGGUCAUUGGAAACUGGAAAACUUGAGUGCAGAAGAGGAAAGUGGAAUUCCAUGUGUAGCGGUGAAAUGCGCAGAGAUAUGGAGGAACACCAGUGGCGAAGGCGACUUUCUGGUCUGUAACUGACGCUGAUGUGCGAAAGCGUGGGGAUCAAACAGGAUUAGAUACCCUGGUAGUCCACGCCGUAAACGAUGAGUGCUAAGUGUUAGGGGGUUUCCGCCCCUUAGUGCUGCAGCUAACGCAUUAAGCACUCCGCCUGGGGAGUACGACCGCAAGGUUGAAACUCAAAGGAAUUGACGGGGACCCGCACAAGCGGUGGAGCAUGUGGUUUAAUUCGAAGCAACGCGAAGAACCUUACCAAAUCUUGACAUCCUUUGACAACUCUAGAGAUAGAGCCUUCCCCUUCGGGGGACAAAGUGACAGGUGGUGCAUGGUUGUCGUCAGCUCGUGUCGUGAGAUGUUGGGUUAAGUCCCGCAACGAGCGCAACCCUUAAGCUUAGUUGCCAUCAUUAAGUUGGGCACUCUAAGUUGACUGCCGGUGACAAACCGGAGGAAGGUGGGGAUGACGUCAAAUCAUCAUGCCCCUUAUGAUUUGGGCUACACACGUGCUACAAUGGACAAUACAAAGGGCAGCGAAACCGCGAGGUCAAGCAAAUCCCAUAAAGUUGUUCUCAGUUCGGAUUGUAGUCUGCAACUCGACUACAUGAAGCUGGAAUCGCUAGUAAUCGUAGAUCAGCAUGCUACGGUGAAUACGUUCCCGGGUCU